GGGCCCGUAGUAUACCGGUAGAAUGCUUCCAUGGCAUGGAAGAGAAGAGGGUUCAAUUCCCUCCGGGUCCACCA
Molecule: transfer RNA, 74 nt
Filed under: Candidatus Woesebacteria bacterium
Lineage: Bacteria; Candidatus Woeseibacteriota
Description: tRNA-Ala
Rfam family: tRNA
About the family: Transfer RNA (tRNA) molecules are approximately 80 nucleotides in length. Their secondary structure includes four short double-helical elements and three loops (D, anti-codon, and T loops).
Source: RNAcentral